CUCUCCAGCAAGAAUAAACAGCUGACCGGAAAACCACGCUACUCUGAUCACAUUUCAUCCAUCACGCCUUUCAAUUCCAGCUCUCUCUCUUUCUCAACAUGAUAAGGGGCGGUAAAAACUACGUUUCUUCGCCACCAGCCUUCUCCAACGACGCCAAACGACUCCUCGUUUGCUCUGGCAACGCCGUCUCCAUCUUCAGCACCGC
RNAcentral lists this unclassified non-coding RNA (205 nucleotides) under Hevea brasiliensis (rubber tree). The record is from RNAcentral. Lineage: Eukaryota; Viridiplantae; Streptophyta; Magnoliopsida; Malpighiales; Euphorbiaceae.